CGACAAUGAGAAAGAGAGAGGAAGAACUAAAGAAAUAAUUUUCUUUGUAUGUUUGGUUGUUUCCAAGUUUUAUUAAUUUUUUGGGUUUAAAUUCUUCUUUUUUCUGGGUUGUUGUGAAUUGUGAUGAAUGUAUGAAUAUUUGAUGAUGAACAAGAGUGAGGGAGAAGAUGAUAGUGCUGGAAAAAUUAGGUGCCGACGGCUCACUAUAGGUAUAAUGGACAUGCAAUCAAACAGCUAAUAUCAUAUCAAAAAUUUUAAACAUUAAAAAAUUAACGGAUGAAUCAAUUUGACUAACGGAGCAAAAUCAAGGGGACCAAAAUGUGAGUUUUACAAUUUAUGGGACCAAAAUGUAAACU
Molecule: long non-coding RNA, 356 nt
Filed under: Medicago truncatula (barrel medic)
Lineage: Eukaryota; Viridiplantae; Streptophyta; Magnoliopsida; Fabales; Fabaceae
Description: long non-coding RNA (MTRU_LNC003820)
Source: RNAcentral